Talpa occidentalis (Iberian mole) is the source of this 867-nucleotide long non-coding RNA. RefSeq lists it as uncharacterized. NCBI's taxonomy places the organism in Eukaryota, Metazoa, Chordata, Mammalia, Eulipotyphla, Talpidae. The transcript has 3 exons. The record is from RefSeq and is a predicted model, not a curated record.
GAUCCAUUGGAAACAUAUUUGCUUCAUGUGUCCACCACUUCAUGCUUUGCUGCCUAGAGGUCUCAGUUCCAAAGGGAAGAAUGUUCCCACUAGGGAAUACACAAUAAUUCCACUGAAUUGGAAGCGGAACCUGCCGCCUAACCACUCUUGGCUCAACAGACAAAGGAGUUACUAUGUUGGCAGUGGUGAUUGAUCCUGAGUACCAAGGAGAAUUGGAUGGCCGCUCCUCAAUGCAGUAUGCUUGUGGAUGCCAACUGGACAAAGGGUGGACUUAUCAUGGUUAAUUUUGAGUCGACCUGGUUGAGCCACAGUGCCCAAGUAUCCUGGAUAUUUUCUGUGAUGAGAGUAUUUUGGAAUGAGAUUUACAUUUAUAUCAGUUGCCUUUGAGAAAAGCAGAUUGCCAUUCAUGAUGGAGACCUCAAGAGAACAAAAGACUGAGCUCCCUUUAGCAAGAGGGAGACUGCCUUUGGACUUCACCUGCAACUUCAGCUGUCUCCUCCUUCAUCUCCAGCCUGAAGACCUUUGGACUUGAACUGUAACAUCAGCCUCAGGAAGCAAGAGAAAGUAGCCUCAACUGGAAUGGCCACAUUUGAGUUCUAUGCUUUCAGCUCCCUACUGUGAGAGAUACUGGUUAAGAGGUAUCAAGGCCCUUCUGCAGGAAAAACACUUGGUCUGAGGCCUGCCUUUGGUCAUGAAGAUCACCUCUGAUUGGACAAAGAACCCACUGAUUAAGUCCUGACCAGUCAUAUUUAAAAGGAAAAACUGAGCUCUCUAAUACUUUUGCAAAUUUUCUUUCAACUCUGCAAAAUCCCGUUCAUCUCAUAACAGGACAUGGGCUCAGGGCCAGGGAAAGUGAUGAGCGCUUCA